GACGAACGCUGGCGGCGUGCCUAAUACAUGCAAGUCGAACGCAGUGGGGACGGGUGAGUAACACGUGGGUAACCUCCCAUCAGAGGGGAUAACACUUGGAAACAGGUGCUAAACCGAUACUGAUGGAUGGACCCGCGGUGCAUGAGCUAGUUGGUGCGGUAACGGCUCACCAAGGCCACGAGGCAUAGCCGCCCUGAGAGGGGGACCGGCCACACUGGGACUGAGACACGGCCCAGACUCCGACGUGAGGCAGCAGUAGGGAAUCUUCGGAAAUGGACGAAAGUCUGACCGAGCAACGCCGCGUGAGUGAAGAAGGUUUGCGGAUCGUAAAACUCUGUUGUUAGAGAAGCGGGAUCUAACCAGAAAGCACCGGCUAACUCCGUGCCAGCAGCCGUGGUAAUAC
RNAcentral lists this ribosomal RNA (403 nucleotides) under uncultured bacterium. RNAcentral's name for it is "partial 16S ribosomal RNA". It matches the Rfam family "Bacterial small subunit ribosomal RNA", at positions 28 to 526 of the family's 1533-position model. The record is from RNAcentral.